Molecule: transfer RNA, 76 nt
Filed under: Caudoviricetes sp.
Lineage: Duplodnaviria; Heunggongvirae; Uroviricota; Caudoviricetes
Description: tRNA-Lys
Rfam family: tRNA
About the family: Transfer RNA (tRNA) molecules are approximately 80 nucleotides in length. Their secondary structure includes four short double-helical elements and three loops (D, anti-codon, and T loops).
Source: RNAcentral
GAACCUGUAACUCAGUUGGUAGAGUAGGAGACUUUUAAUCUCAAGGCCGUGGAUUCGAGUUCCACCAGGUUCACCA